AGAGUUUGAUCAUGGCUCAGAACGUACGCUGGCGGCACGCCUUAUACAUGCAAGUCGAACGAAGUAGCAAUACUUAGUGGCAGACGGGUGAGUAACAUGUAGGUAUCUUCCCUUUGGUGAGGAAUAACACGAGGAAACUUGUGCUAAUACCUCAUAAGUCUUUACAGAGAAAGCUUUAUGCGCCGAAGGAUGAGCCUGCACUUGAUUAGUUUGUUGGUGGGGUAAUGGCUCACCAAGACUUUGAUCAAUAGCUGAUCUGAGAGGAUGAUCAGCCACAUUGGGACUGAGACACGGCCCAAACUCCUACGGGAGGCAGCAGUAGGGAAUAUUGCACAAUGGAGGAAACUCUGAUGCAGCGAUGCCGCGUGAGUGAAGAAGGCCUUUGGGUUGUAAAGCUCUUUCGUCGGGGAAGAAAAUGACUGUACCCGAAUAAGAAGGUCCGGCUAACUUCGUGCCAGCAGCCGCGGUAAUACGAAGGGACCUAGCGUAGUUCGGAAUUACUGGGCUUAAAGAGUUCGUAGGUGGUUAAAAAAGUUGGUGGUGAAAUCCCAGAGCUUAACUCUGGAACUGCCAUCAAAACUUUUUAGCUAGAGUAUGAUAGAGGAAAGCAGAAUUUCUAGUGUAGAGGUGAAAUUCGUAGAUAUUAGAAAGAAUACCAAUUGCGAAGGCAGCUUUCUGGAUCAUUACUGACGCUGAGGAACGAAAGCAUGGGUAGCGAAGAGGAUUAGAUACCCUCGUAGUCCAUGCCGUAAACGAUGUGUGUUAGACGUUGGAAAUUUAUUUUCAGUGUCGCAGCGAAAGCAUUAAACACACCGCCUGGGGAGUACGACCGCAAGGUUAAAACUCAAUGAAUUGACGGGGACCCGCACAAGUAGUGGAGCAUGUGGUUUAAUU
This 894-nucleotide ribosomal RNA is filed under the name uncultured bacterium. Its description in RNAcentral is "bacterial SSU rRNA". It matches the Rfam family "Bacterial small subunit ribosomal RNA", at positions 8 to 951 of the family's 1533-position model. The record is from RNAcentral.